GCGAAGGCGAGUUCCUGGACAAGUCCUGACGCUGAGGCACGAAAGCCGGGGGAGCAAACAGGAUUAGAUACCCUGGUAGUCCCGGCUGUAAACGGUGCACGUUUGCUGUGAGAGGAAUCGACCCCUUUCGUGGCGGAGCUAACGCGAUAAACGUGCCGCCUGGGGAGUACGGUCGCAAGAUUGAACUCAAAGAAAUUGACGGGGGCCUGCACAAGCGGUGGAGUAUGUGGCUCAAUUCGAUGCAACGUGAAGAACCUUACCUAACCUUGACAUGCAUGUGGUAGAAGCCCGAAAGGGUAACGACCCCGCAAGGGGAGCAUGCACAGGAGAUGCAUGGCUGUCGUCAGCUCGUGUCGUGAGAUGUUGGGUUAAGUCCCGCAACGAGCGCAACCCUUGCGUCCUGUUACCACCCCUACGAGAGUAGGGAGCAAUCUGGACGGACUGCCUCGCUUCAACGGGGAGGAAGGUGGGGAUGACGUCAAGUCAGUAUGGCCCUUACGGCCAGGGCUGCACACGUAAUACAAUGCCCGGUACAAAGGGAUGCCAAACCGAAAGGUGGAGCAAAUCCCCCAAAAUCCGGGCCCAGUUCAGAUUGAGGUCUGCAACUCGACCUCAUGAAACCGGAAUCGCUAGUAAUGGCGCAUCAGCUACGGCGCCGUGAAUACGUUCCCAGGCCUUGUACACACCGCCCGUCACAUCAUGAAAGCCGGUUGUACCCGAAGUCCAUGUAGGAACCGCAAGUUUAUUUAGGGCCGAAGGUAUGGUUGGGAUAUGAUGAGUCGACCCCCCGUAUCACUAGU
Molecule: ribosomal RNA, 800 nt
Filed under: uncultured soil bacterium
Lineage: Bacteria
Description: bacterial SSU rRNA
Rfam family: Bacterial small subunit ribosomal RNA
Source: RNAcentral